Molecule: ribosomal RNA, 236 nt
Filed under: uncultured bacterium
Lineage: Bacteria
Description: partial 16S ribosomal RNA
Rfam family: Bacterial small subunit ribosomal RNA
Source: RNAcentral
CGGCACGGGUGAGUAACACGUAUCCAACCUGCCGUCUACUCUUGGGCAGCCUUCUGAAAGGAAGAUUAAUACAAGAUGGCAUCAUGAGUCCGCAUGUUCACAUGAUUAAAGGUAUUCCGGUAGACGAUGGGGAUGCGUUCCAUUAGAUAGUAGGCGGGGUAACGGCCCACCUAGUCUUCGAUGGAUAGGGGUCCUGAGAGGAAGGUCCCCCACAUUGGAACUGAGACACGGUCCAA